UGGCGGCGCGCCUAACACAUGCAAGUCGAACGAGAAAGUCCGCAAGGAUGAGUAAAGUGGCGUACGGGUGAGUAACACGUGGAUAACCUGCCCUUUAGUGGGGAAUACCGCUGGGAAACCGGCGACAAUACCGCAUAAGCUCGAGAGAGGAAAGCAGCAAUGCGCUGAAGGAGGGGUCCGCGGCCGAUUAGCUAGUUGGUAGGGUAAAAGCCUACCAAGGCUGUGAUCGGUAGCCGGCCUGAGAGGGCACACGGCCACACUGGCACUGAAACACGGGCCAGACUCCUACGGGAGGCAGCAGUGGGGAAUCUUGCACAAUGGGGGAAACCCUGAUGCAGCGACGCCGCGUGAGCGAUGAAGCCCUUCGGGGUGUAAAGCUCUUUCGGCAGGGACGAUUAUGACGGUACCUGCAGAAGCAGCUGCGGCUAACUACGUGCCAGCAGCCGCGGUAAUACGUAGGCAGCAAGCGUUGUUCGGAGUUACUGGGCGUAAAGGGUGCGUAGGCGGCUUCUUAAGUCUGGUGUGAAAU
This 529-nucleotide ribosomal RNA is filed under the name uncultured bacterium. RNAcentral's name for it is "bacterial SSU rRNA". It matches the Rfam family "Bacterial small subunit ribosomal RNA", at positions 37 to 600 of the family's 1533-position model. The record is from RNAcentral.